Long non-coding RNA from Raphanus sativus (radish), 688 nucleotides. RefSeq lists it as uncharacterized. The transcript is spliced from 5 exons. The record is from RefSeq and is a predicted model, not a curated record. Lineage: Eukaryota; Viridiplantae; Streptophyta; Magnoliopsida; Brassicales; Brassicaceae.
GAUAAGUUAAAAGGAGUAGAAGACCCUCUCUUGUUCUCUUUGUUGAUCAGACUCUCUACUGAUUUUGACAUUUGAUUUGUGGUUUUAGGAGAGAAAAAUAGAGCAAAAGCAGGAAAACGCGCAGAAGAAACUCUAGAUGAAGAAGAAGCUGAGGAAGAGAGAGAGAAGGGAUCGUAUACAAAAUUCGUCCAAGAAAGAAGGGAUCAUGGUCACAUCAACAAUACUAUUUUACAAACGGCAUAAAGAGAAUCAUUUGUAAUGGAAGUUCGAAGAGAGAGCCAAAUGGAUGUUGGUGACACGCGAGAAUAUUGUUUUACUGAAGGCAUAAACAGAUUAUGGUAACAAAUUAAGUUGGGAAAAAAGAUAUGCAUCUUGGUAACCAAGUUGCGUGGAAAGAAAGUGACUGGAAUCGUGAAUUAAUUAUGGUAACUAAUUUGAUUUGGAUCCGACAGCAAUGAUGAGGCAAGAUAAUUGAGUCAAAAGAUAUUGAACUUGGAGAAAAAGAAACGUGGAAAGAAAGGUAGUAAAAGAAGAAUUGGUGACAAUGGAAUAGUCUGUGAUGCAUAUCUUGAAUUUAUGGCUGGUUGGUCUGUAUAUCCCGACGGCUUGGCAAACCAAGAAAUUCUGGAGGAUCCUCCAUUGACCAAUCUGCAAUUUUUUUACACGAGCAAGGAAGACUUUCUUACAG